RNAcentral lists this transfer RNA (60 nucleotides) under Pseudoniphargus sp. 1-Portugal. RNAcentral's name for it is "tRNA-Thr". Lineage: Eukaryota; Metazoa; Arthropoda; Malacostraca; Amphipoda; Allocrangonyctidae. The record is from RNAcentral.
GUCCUUGUAGUUUAAUAAAAACAUUAGUUUUGUAAACUAAAAUUGCCUUACCCAAAGACU